GACGAACGCUGGCGGCGUGCUUAACAUAUGCAAGUCGAACGGAAAGGCCCUGCUUUUGUGGGGUGCUCGAGUGGCGAACGGGUGAGUAACACGUGAGUAACCUGCCCUUGACUUUGGGAUAACUUCAGGAAACUGGGGCUAAUACCGGAUAGGAGCUCCUGCUGCAUGGUGGGGGUUGGAAAGUUUCGGCGGUUGGGGAUGGACUCGCGGCUUAUCAACUUGUUGGUGGGGUAGUGGCUUACCAAGGCUUUGACGGGUAGCCGGCCUGAGAGGGUGACCGGCCACAUUGGGACUGAGAUACGGCCCAGACUCCUACGGGAGGCAGCAGUGGGGAAUAUUGCACAAUGGGCGGAAGCCUGAUGCAGCAACGCCGCGUGCGGGAUGACGGCCUUCGGGUUGUAAACCGCUUUCGCCUGUGACGAAGCGUGAGUGACGGUAAUGGGUAAAGAAGCACCGGCUAACUACGUG
Molecule: ribosomal RNA, 468 nt
Filed under: uncultured bacterium
Lineage: Bacteria
Description: partial 16S ribosomal RNA
Rfam family: Bacterial small subunit ribosomal RNA
Source: RNAcentral